GUUCAGAUAAUACAUUUUACCUGAAUCAAGAUCAAGGCAUUGUUCCCAAUCCAGAGGAAGAGGGUCUUUAACAUGAAGAUCAACAGAUUCUGAUAAGUAUUUCCUUUUCCUGCUGCUACUGAAACUGGAAAAGUUGUUUUCAGAUUCUGAAGAUGAACUAUUCAUACUUUUUUCAACAACAAACUGAGUUGGAGCCAAGGAGAGCUCUGUAAGUUCCAUUAUCCUCCAAAAACUCUUACCCUUUCUCAGAUUCAAUAUAUUUCAAUACGUAAACAUAUAUUAACAAGACUCUCUCUGUCUACACACAGCUUUUGCUCUGCAUUACCUUAGCUUUCAAGGUUGAGGAAAGAUAGAAGAGUGAAGAGAAGAAAAUGAAGAGAAACCAAUUGAGGAAACUUUGUAAACAAACAGAGAGUGAAGCGUAGUAGUACAUAACCCAAAU
This 442-nucleotide unclassified non-coding RNA is filed under the name Hevea brasiliensis (rubber tree). The record is from RNAcentral. Lineage: Eukaryota; Viridiplantae; Streptophyta; Magnoliopsida; Malpighiales; Euphorbiaceae.